GGGCUCACACAAGCGGUGGAGCAUGUGGCUUAAUUCGAGGCAACGCGAAGAACCUUAUCCUGGGUUUGACAUGUACGGAUGGCUCGCCUGAAAGGGAUGAGUCUGCCUUCGGGUGAAACGUACACAGGUGCUGCAUGGCUGUCGUCAGCUCGUGUCGUGAGAUGUAGGGUUAAGUCCCGCAACGAGCGAAACCCUUAUCUCUAGUUGCCAGCGGGUAAUGCCGGGGACUCUAGAGAGACUGCCGGUGUCAAACCGGAGGAAGGUGGGGAUGACGUCAAGUCCUCAUGGCCUUUAUGUCUAGGGCUGCACACGUCCUACAAUGGUACGGACAAACGGACGCAAUACCGCGAGGUGGAGCAAAUCCUAGAAACCGUGCCUCAGUUCGGAUUGCAGGCUGCAACUCGCCUGCAUGAAGCCGGAAUCGCUAGUAA
RNAcentral lists this ribosomal RNA (431 nucleotides) under uncultured bacterium. RNAcentral describes it as "bacterial SSU rRNA". It matches the Rfam family "Bacterial small subunit ribosomal RNA", at positions 917 to 1341 of the family's 1533-position model. The record is from RNAcentral.